This 461-nucleotide ribosomal RNA is filed under the name uncultured bacterium. RNAcentral's name for it is "partial 16S ribosomal RNA". It matches the Rfam family "Bacterial small subunit ribosomal RNA", at positions 356 to 832 of the family's 1533-position model. The record is from RNAcentral.
GGGGAAUAUUGGACAAUGGGGGGCAACCCUGAUCCAGCAAUGCCGCGUGUGUGAAGAAGGUCUUCGGAUUGUAAAGCACUUUCGACGGGGACGAUGAUGACGGUACCCGUAGAAGAAGCCCCGGCUAACUUCGUGCCAGCAGCCGCGGUAAUACGAAGGGGGCUAGCGUUGCUCGGAAUGACUGGGCGUAAAGGGCGUGUAGGCGGUUUACACAGUCAGAUGUGAAAUCCCCGGGCUUAACCUGGGAGCUGCAUUUGAUACGUGUAGACUAGAGUGUGAGAGAGGGUUGUGGAAUUCCCAGUGCAGAGGUGAAAUUCGUAGAUAUUGGGAAGAACACCGGUGGCGAAGGCGGCAACCUGGCUCAUGACUGACGCUGAGGCGCGAAAGCGUGGGGAGCAAACAGGAUUAGAUACCCUGGUAGUCCACGCCUGUAAACGAUGUGUGCUAGAUGUUGGGUAACU